UUUCUUGCACCACCCGACCUACAUUUAUUAACAUUUAAAUAUUAGAAAAAAAAAUAAAAACUGACGGCUUGAACCUGCGGCUCGCCUGCAGCGAAGGUGCGGCUUGAACCUGCGGCUCGACGAGGCGACGCGCAGGUGCGGCUUGAACCUGCGGCUCGACGAGGGAACGCGCAGGUGCGCUGGCCUGCAGCGAAGCCCGCCGUGAGGUACUGCUGGCCUGCAGCGAAGCCCCCGUGGGGGUGCUAGAGCUGCAAGCGGCGGAGGCGCGGGGCUCGCUUCCGAUGAAGACGGAGGCGGCGGAGGCACAGGGCUUGGCGGAGGCGCGGGUCUUGGCAGAGGCGCGGGGCUUGCUGGAGCUGCAGGUGGAGGGGGCGGAGGGGACGAAGAACUUGGGAAAGGUAGAGAGAAAGAGAAAUGUAAGGUUAAAAUUUUAGAAAGUAAGGUUAAAAUUUCAAAUGGGUUUAGAAACUAAGGUUAAAAUUUUAUUAUUUUUAAAUGUAAAAAGACAAUAAAGUCUCCAAUAAUUAAUAUAAUGUAUAUAGAGUAAGUGAGGGUAAAUUGGUCUUUUUGCAUAGGGGUAGGUGAGUGCUGAAAAAAAAAGAGGGAACUUGUGGCGUGGUAAAUAAGGAGAUA
RNAcentral lists this long non-coding RNA (633 nucleotides) under Ananas comosus (pineapple). RNAcentral's name for it is "long non-coding RNA (ACOM_LNC005406)". The record is from RNAcentral. Lineage: Eukaryota; Viridiplantae; Streptophyta; Magnoliopsida; Poales; Bromeliaceae.